AGUGUUUAUUGAUUUGUGCUGCUGUGCCAAGGGAAACACACACCCCUCUGCCUGGCGUGAGAGUUAAAAAAAAGAGAGACAGCCCGAGGGAUCGAGACCUGAACAUGUGGUGGUGGUGGUUGCACAGUCGCCUUUUCCAGUUUGGAGAGACGUUUUACAAAUUAUAAUACUGUGGUAGAAACAAAUUCAGAUUCAGAUGAUGAAGACAAACUGCAUAUUGUGGAAGAAGAAAGUGUUACAGAUGCAGCUGACUGUGAAGGUGUACCAGAGGAUGACCUGCCAACAGACCAGACAGUGUUACCAGGGAGGAGCAGUGAAAGAGAAGGGAAUGCUAAGAACUGCUGGGAGGAUGACACAGGAAAGGAAGGGCAAGAAAUCCUGGGGCCUGAAGCUCAGGCAGAUGAAGCAGGAUGUACAGUAAAAGAUGAUGAAUGCGAGUCAGAUGCAGAAAAUGAGCAAAACCAUGAUCCUAAUGUUGAAGAGUUUCUACAACAACAAGACACUGCUGUCAUUUUUCCUGAGGCACCUGAAGAGGACCAGAGGCAGGGCACACCAGAAGCCAGUGGUCAUGAUGAAAAUGGAACACCAGAUGCAUUUUCACAAUUACUCACCUGUCCAUAUUGUGAUAGAGGCUAUAAACGCUUUACCUCUCUGAAAGAACACAUUAAAUAUCGUCAUGAAAAGAAUGAAGAUAACUUUAGUUGCUCCCUGUGCAGUUACACCUUUGCAUACAGAACCCAACUUGAACGUCACAUGACAUCACAUAAAUCAGGAAGAGAUCAAAGACAUGUGACGCAGUCUGGGUGUAAUCGUAAAUUCAAAUGCACUGAGUGUGGAAAAGCUUUCAAAUACAAACAUCACCUAAAAGAGCACUUAAGAAUUCACAGUGGAGAGAAGCCAUAUGAAUGCCCAAACUGCAAGAAACGCUUUUCCCAUUCUGGCUCCUAUAGCUCACACAUAAGCAGUAAGAAAUGUAUCAGCUUGAUACCUGUGAAUGGGCGACCAAGAACAGGACUCAAGACAUCUCAGUGUUCUUCACCGUCUCUUUCAGCAUCACCAGGCAGUCCCACACGACCACAGAUACGGCAAAAGAUAGAGAAUAAACCCCUUCAAGAACAACUUUCUGUUAACCAAAUUAAAACUGAACCUGUGGAUUAUGAAUUCAAACCCAUAGUGGUUGCUUCAGGAAUCAACUGUUCAACCCCUUUACAAAAUGGGGUUUUCACUGGUGGUGGCCCAUUACAGGCAACCAGUUCUCCUCAGGGCAUGGUGCAAGCUGUUGUUCUGCCAACAGUUGGUUUGGUGUCUCCCAUAAGUAUCAAUUUAAGUGAUAUUCAGAAUGUACUUAAAGUGGCGGUAGAUGGUAAUGUAAUAAGGCAAGUGUUGGAGAAUAAUCAAGCCAAUCUUGCAUCCAAAGAACAAGAAACAAUCAAUGCUUCACCCAUACAACAAGGUGGCCAUUCUGUUAUUUCAGCCAUCAGUCUUCCUUUGGUUGAUCAAGAUGGAACAACCAAAAUUAUCAUCAACUACAGUCUUGAGCAGCCUAGCCAACUUCAAGUUGUUCCUCAAAAUUUAAAAAAAGAAAAUCCAGUCGCUACAAACAGUUGUAAAAGUGAAAAGUUACCAGAAGAUCUUACUGUUAAGUCUGAGAAGGACAAAAGCUUUGAAGGGGGGGUGAAUGAUAGCACUUGUCUUCUGUGUGAUGAUUGUCCAGGAGAUAUUAAUGCACUUCCAGAAUUAAAGCACUAUGACCUAAAGCAGCCUACUCAGCCUCCUCCACUCCCUGCAGCAGAAGCUGAGAAGCCUGAGUCCUCUGUUUCAUCAGCUACUGGAGAUGGCAAUUUGUCUCCUAGUCAGCCACCUUUAAAGAACCUCUUGUCUCUCCUAAAAGCAUAUUAUGCUUUGAAUGCACAACCAAGUGCAGAAGAGCUCUCAAAAAUUGCUGAUUCAGUAAACCUACCACUGGAUGUAGUAAAAAAGUGGUUUGAAAAGAUGCAAGCUGGACAGAUUUCAGUGCAGUCUUCUGAACCAUCUUCUCCUGAACCAGGCAAAGUAAAUAUCCCUGCCAAGAACAAUGAUCAGCCUCAAUCUGCAAAUGCAAAUGAACCCCAGGACAGCACAGUAAAUCUACAAAGUCCUUUGAAGAUGACUAACUCCCCAGUUUUACCGGUGGGAUCAACCACCAAUGGUUCCAGAAGUAGUACACCAUCCCCAUCACCUCUAAACCUUUCCUCAUCCAGAAAUACACAGGGUUACUUGUACACAGCUGAGGGUGCACAAGAAGAGCCACAAGUAGAACCUCUUGAUCUUUCGCUACCAAAGCAACAGGGAGAAUUAUUAGAAAGGUCAACUAUCACUAGUGUUUACCAGAACAGUGUUUAUUCUGUCCAGGAAGAACCCUUGAACUUGUCUUGCGCAAAAAAGGAGCCACAAAAGGACAGUUGUGUUACAGACUCAGAACCAGUUGUAAAUGUAAUCCCACCAAGUGCCAACCCCAUAAAUAUCGCUAUACCUACAGUCACUGCCCAGUUACCCACAAUCGUGGCCAUUGCUGACCAGAACAGUGUUCCAUGCUUACGAGCGCUAGCUGCCAAUAAGCAAACGAUUCUGAUUCCCCAGGUGGCAUACACCUACUCAACUACGGUCAGCCCUGCAGUCCAAGAACCACCCUUGAAAGUGAUCCAGCCAAAUGGAAAUCAGGAUGAAAGACAAGAUACUAGCUCAGAAGGAGUAUCAAAUGUAGAGGAUCAGAAUGACUCUGAUUCUACACCUCCC
Molecule: small RNA, 2775 nt
Filed under: Pan troglodytes (chimpanzee)
Lineage: Eukaryota; Metazoa; Chordata; Mammalia; Primates; Hominidae
Description: retained intron
Source: RNAcentral